RNAcentral lists this ribosomal RNA (499 nucleotides) under uncultured bacterium. RNAcentral describes it as "bacterial SSU rRNA". It matches the Rfam family "Bacterial small subunit ribosomal RNA", at positions 30 to 525 of the family's 1533-position model. The record is from RNAcentral.
AUUGAACGCUGGCGGCAUGCUUUACACAUGCAAGUCGAACGGUAACAGGUCUUCGGAUGCUGACGAGUGGCGAACGGGUGAGUAAUGUAUCGGAACGUGCCCAGUAGUGGGGGAUAACUACUCGAAAGAGUGGCUAAUACCGCAUGAGAACUGAGGUUGAAAGCGGGGGGACCUUCGGGCCUCGCGCUACUGGAGCGGCCGAUAUCAGAUUAGGUAGUUGGUGGGGUAAAGGCCUACCAAGCCGACGAUCUGUAGCUGGUCUGAGAGGACGACCAGCCACACUGGGACUGAGACACGGCCCAGACUCCUACGGGAGCAGCAGUGGGGAAUUUUGGACAAUGGACGCAAGUCUGAUCCAGCAAUGCCGCGUGUGUGAAGAAGGCCUGCGGGUUGUAAAGCACUUUCAGUGGGAAGAACAGAUUCGGGUCAAUACCCCGGAGCCCUGACGUUACCCACAGAAGAAGCACCGGCUAACUCCGUGCCAGCAGCCGCGGUAAAG